This is a long non-coding RNA of Oreochromis aureus, 3267 nucleotides long. RefSeq lists it as uncharacterized. Lineage: Eukaryota; Metazoa; Chordata; Actinopteri; Cichliformes; Cichlidae. The record is from RefSeq and is a predicted model, not a curated record. The transcript is spliced from 4 exons.
CAGCAACUCAGAAGGAAAGCCUUGUAGUAGUAGGGAAACGGCAGCACCACAAGCCGGGGAAUAUCUGUGGUGUCUGCGCCUCGCUGCCAGUGUUGCCAGCGGCUGAUCCCGUCGGGCCGCCCUCCUGCUUAUGCCCGGUCCUGGGUGGCGGAUUGCUGGCGUGACUAGUGUCCCGGUUAUGCUGCAAGUCCUCGGUCUCUGGUGACGCAUCAUCCAGUUCGGUGAAACGCUGCACUGUGCCGCCACCGCCGGUGGAGGAGGCGGAGGACAGGUUUGGACGCUCCGUUUCCUCUCCGCUUUGUGGGAACGGGAAGCAACAGCAUUGUGUUGGAGCUGACUGGUGUAAUCAUUAAUGAGCACUAACAGUCGGGACAGGACAGGCAUGGCCUACAGCCUGGGACACACACAGGACGAUACAAAUGCAGUUUGGGAGAAGCGAGCGGCAGACGAGACGAAAGAGCAGAGCAAAGAAAAAAAACGACCUAAACUUUGGAAACGUUUUGCUAUUUGAGAACCGGAUGGUUGGUCCCUGUGUGAGUGUGUGUAAGGGAGAUGAGUGGGGGCUGGACAUAAAGGAAUAGCAGAAGGACAUAGUCUGCUUUAAAGCUAGUAAAGAAGUCACAUUUUAUGUCACAUGACCUUACGCUUUGUUGUGUUGAUAUUUGUUAUUUGUUGUUGUGCCUGAUAUUUCCUUGUGUCGAUGGGGAUAUUGAAGUCUACCAAACUUUAACUUGCCGUCCACCAGUAUUGAAAAAAAGGGAACGGGGCUGUGCACCGACGCUGCUAAGAGCAUUAUCAUUACAUUGCGUAGGCUAGACCUUUGUGCCGCAGUUCGACGAAUUAUUCAUUCGAGUAACGACAAUACUGUAAAAAAUGGGAGACUUAAAAGACAAAAAAUAAUAUAAGCUACCUCGGAUGGCUUGUUAGCUACUUUGACCACCCCAAAAUCAGUAGGCUAACAGCCUUCCAGUCAUUAGCACUAUAGUUAUUAAGUUUCUACCACUGGUCCAGCACUAAUAACAGGGUAAUGACAAGAAGCGAAAUCUGUUAGAAGUAUGAAUCACAAUGACGCAAAUAAAUAGAAACUGUAGAGAGAUGGAAUGGUCUAGAUUAUAUCAGACAACAAAGAAAGCAAAAAGUUAAUAUUGUGGGACAUUCUCCCACGUUGAAAAUUGGUAGGAUGACAAUUGCAAAUCUCAUCUUUUUUCUAAACGGAUAUGUGUUUUAAGCCUGCUGUAUUCCUGCACAGUAAAUCUUUCUGGUGCAGCUUCAGAGUAAAUAGCCGAGAGGCGCUGAAGGAACUCCAGGAAUCCGGGAAACUUCAGAGAUUAUCGACAAUUAAAGCUGAAAGAGUCAGGCGGCUGCUUUAUGGCUUUAUGGAUCCCUUUCACCUUUUGCGCGCGUGUGUGGGGGUGGGGGUAUGUGCGAAGGAGAGAGAGAGAACUCAGGACUUUUAUGGUUUUAUGACUUUUUAUGACUCUUUACAAGGAGUCCGAGGAAUGGCUACGAUCUGAAAAACCGCCCCGCAGCAAACCGGCAGAUGAACAAAUGUGUUGUUCUCCGCAAGUAACGAGCACUGUGCAGCUCACCUGCGGUUUAUUUCAGCCGUGGCAGUGAUAGGGUCGACUGCAUUUCACGGGUUAAAUAAUUAACCGUCUAUGAAAUUUAAAAUUCACUGCUUAUCCUACUAAAGUACUCUUAUGUAGCAUUUUAGUUCGAGUUAUUUGUAAAAAGUAGUUUAAAACUCUUAGCGCAUCAGACUGGCCCUCUUCUGGCAGAGCAGACGCGUUUAUUGCAACCACUAAAAUAACCUUUAAUUUAACCCUGUCUCUCAUCAGUGUAAUUUAAAGAGAAACUGUGACUAAACAAAAAAAAAAUAAAAUAAAAAAAGUAAAAAGAAUAUGCGAUUAAACUGUAUGACAUGUUAAGUAAGUGGUCUAUUAUAAUGUCAUUCAUUUAAAUUUUAUAUGGAUUUUGCCAAUCUCAGAAAAAACAGUGACAUUUUUUGAUAUAAGUAGAAUACUUUCGCUCUUUGGAUCGUAUAGAAGAUUCCAGAAGUUGCGAUGCUUGGAGAUAAAAAGUUCACGUGUUUAGAGUUUAGAUAAAUAGAGUUCCUAUUGCUAAUUCUCUCUCGCUCUCUGUGUGUGUGUGUGUGUGUGUGUGUGUGUGUGUGUGUGUGUGUGUGUGUGCGCGCGCGCCGAAGGAGACCUCUGCUGCUGCACCAGUUAAUGACAAACUCCAAAAAACUGCCUGACUAGUACUUUCUCUUGUUUAAUAUAUUAAUCGUUUCCAGGCAGCGCGAGUCGACUGCCGCGUCCUUCAGGGUACUGUGAGCACGCGCUCCAGGUCAGUUCACCGGACUAUUACCGGUGGACGGGAGCCCUCAGCCACAAAAGGCCUCGGGACCAGUUAAAGUUUAACGGUGGGUGAAUGCAGCAUCAGAAAGAGACCCAUAUUUUUCGGCUAAAUAAGAAGAGUCGAGCUUGAUUAUUCAAACAGUCUUAUUCGACAUUAUUUGGUCAGGUCAGACGAAAAAUAAUAAUAAUAAUUAUAAUUAUAAUAAUAAAAAUCAUAAAUUAACUUCUGAUACUAUCACCCUGGCAAUCGUUAUCUAACUGCACAGAAAAUCCUGUCGAGGUAUUUGUCCGCUGCGCAAACCACAAAUAGAUGAAGGGAAAACAAAUUUUCUGUCUGAUCUCAAUACUCUGAAGUUGAAUGCUGAAUAAAACUAAGACUAUGCUAAAAUCAUAAAUUAAACUGAACAUCAUAGUUUUCCCUCCAUGAGGGUCUUUCAGAUGAUUACAUACACGUUCACAACUGGAAACAUAUAUCUGAGGGGGACUGCACAACAGAUUUACAGAUAAGCGUGAGUGAUAAAACCACAAAGAAAGGACGAAUUAAUCUGCUUACACAGACACGAACACAGUGAAGCACAUGCACUCCCUGCUUGCCGCUCUAUUCCGAAACAGCCCUCCUGACCAAUCAGCAUAAAUUUUGCAUCCAGAAUUACUUUUCCGUGAGCACAUCCAGUGCUCGUGCGCAAGCGCAAACACGCACACACACACACACACACACACACAACAACACCAUUCUUCUGGGAUUUUGUACACACACGGUUUUCUACACGUUUCAUUCACCACUGUAACAGCAGCCAGGUCUAACCUUGGAGACAAACCAGGACUGAGAGAAACACCCGUUUCUCUACCUCAGUGCUACAAGUCGACCUUUCCAACCCUACAUCAAAGAUUAAAAAAAAAAAAAAAAAAA